AUGAGGGUGAUGAGGUGCUUUUUGUAGAACGAGCCAACGAGUUACGGUAUGUAGCAAGGUUAAGUACUUAAGGUACGGAGCCGAAGGGAAACCGAGUCUGAAUAGGGCGACUAGUUGCAUGCCGUAGACCCGAAACCGGGUGACCUAUCCAUGGCCAGGUUGAAGCGAGGGUAAAACCUCGUGGAGGACCGAACCACGUUGCUGUUGAAAAAGCAUGGGAUGAGCUGUGGAUAGCGGAGAAAUUCCAAUCGAACCCGGAGAUAGCUGGUUCUCUCCGAAAUAGCUUUAGGGCUAGCGUCGAGUAUGAGUAGUGGAGGUAGAGCACUGAAUGGGCUAGGGGGCAUAGCGCUUACCGAACCUUAUCAAACUCCGAAUGCCACAUACUUUGAGCUCGGCAGUCAGACUACGAAUGAUAAGAUCCGUGGUCAAAAGGGAAACAGCCCAGAUCGUCAGCUAAGGUCCCAAAGUGUAAGUUAAGUGGGAAAGGAUGUGAGAUUUCUAAGACAACUAGGAUGUUGGCUUAGAAGCAGCCAUUCAUUAAAAGAGUGCGUAAUAGCUCACUAGUCGAGAGAUCUUGCGCCGAAAAUGUAACGGGGCUAAACUUACCACCGAAGCUACGGGCUUGAACAUAGUUCAAGCGGUAGGAGAGCGUCGUAACCGGGCUGAAGUCGUACCGUAAGGAGCGGUGGACUGGUUACGAGUGAGAAUGUUGGCAUCAGUAGCGAGAUGUGGGUGAGAAUCCCACAGGCCGAAAACCUAAGGUUUCCUCAGGAAGGUUCGUCCGCUGAGGGUUAGUCGGGACCUAAGCCGAGGCCGAAAGGCGUAGGUGAUGGACAACUGGUUGAUAUUCCAGUACCACUACCAUCGUUAUUAUCGAUGGCGUGACGCAGGAGGAUAGUGUGUGCUAGCUAUUGGAUGCUAGUCUAAGCGUUUAGGCAGUGAGAGUAGGCAAAUCCGCUCUCAUAAUGCUGAGGCGUGAUGGGGAAGGUUCUACGGAACCGAAGUACAUGAUUCCACGCUGCCAAGAAAAGCGUCUAGAGAGAGAAGUAGUGCCCGUACCGCAAACCGACACAGGUAGGUGAGGAGAGAAUCCUAAGGCCGGCGGAAGAAUUACAGUUAAGGAACUCGGCAAAUUGACCCCGUAAGUUCGCGAGAAGGGGUGCCUACGAGAGUAGGCCGCAGAGAAUAGGCCCAAGCAACUGUUUAGCAAAAACACAGGUCUCUGCUAAAGCGUAAGCUGAUGUAUAGGGGCUGACGCCUGCCCGGUGCUGGAAGGUUAAGGGGAACACUUAGCGCAAGCGAAGGUGUGAACUUAAGCCCCAGUAAACGGCGG
This 1333-nucleotide ribosomal RNA is filed under the name Bifidobacterium breve. RNAcentral describes it as "partial 23S ribosomal RNA". It matches the Rfam family "Bacterial large subunit ribosomal RNA", at positions 587 to 1933 of the family's 2925-position model. Lineage: Bacteria; Bacillati; Actinomycetota; Actinomycetes; Bifidobacteriales; Bifidobacteriaceae. The record is from RNAcentral.